CGCUAUCGAUAGGCUUAACACAUGCAAGUCGAGGGGCAGCAUGAUCUUAGCUUGCUAAGGUUGAUGGCGACCGGCGCACGGGUGCGUAACGCGUAUGCAACUUGCCUUACAGAGGGGGAUAACCCGUUGAAAGACGGACUAAAACCGCAUACACUUGUAUUAUUGCAUGAUAUUACAAGGAAAUAUUUAUAGCUGUAAGAUAGGCAUGCGUCCCAUUAGCUGGUUGGUGAGGUAACGGCUCACCAAGGCGACGAUGGGUAGGGGAACUGAGAGGUUUAUCCCCCACACUGGUACUGAGACACGGACCAGACUCCUACGGGAGGCAGCAGUGAGGAAUAUUGGUCAAUGGGCGAUAGCCUGAACCAGCCAAGUCGCGUGAAGGAAGACAGUCCUAAGGAUUGUAAACUUCUUUUAUACGGGAAUAACGGGCGAUACGAGUAUUGCAUUGAAUGUACCGUAAGAAUAAGCAUCGGCUAACUCCGUGCCAGCAGCCGCGGUAAUACGGAGGAUGCGAGCGUUAUCCGGAUUUAUUGGGUUUAAAGGGUGCGUAGGUUGUUCGGUAAGUCAGCGGUGAAACCUGAGCGCUCAACGUUCAGCCUGCCGUUGAAACUGCCGGGCUUGAGUUCAGUGGCGGCAGGCGGAAUUCGUGGUGUAGCGGUGAAGUGCAUAGAUAUCACGAGGAACUCCGAUUGCGAAGGCAGCUUGCCAUACUGCGACUGACACUGAAGCACGAAGGCGUGGGUAUCAAAACAGGAUUAGAUACCCUGGUAGUCCACGCAGUAAACGAUGAUUUCUAGGAGUUUGCGAUAUACCGUCAAGCUUCCACAGCGUAAGCGAUAAGUAAUCCACCUGGGGAGUACGCCGGCAACGGUGAAACUCAAAGGAAUUGACGGAGGCCCGCACAAGAGGAGGAACAUGUGGUUUAAUUGGAUGAUACGCGAGGACCCUUACCCGGGAUUGAAAUGUUGAUGACGGAUGGUGAAAACCGUCUUCCCUUCGGGGAUUCUAUGUAGGUGCUGCAUGGUUGUCGUCAGCUCGUGCUGUGAGGUGUCGGCUUAAGUGCCAUAACGAGCGCAACCCACAUCGGUAGUUGCUAACAGUUUUCGUUGAGGACUCUACCGAGACUGCGGUGGUAAGGCGCGAGGAAGGUGUGGAUGACUUCAAAUCAGCACGGCCCUUACAUCCGGGGCGACACACGUGUUACAAUGGGAGGGACAAAGGGCAGCUGCCGGGCGACCGGAUGCGAAUCUCUAAACCCUUCCCCAGUUGGGAUCGGAGUCUGCAACUCGAAUCCGUGAAGCUGGAUUCGUUAGUAAUCGCGCAUCAGCCAUGGCGCGGUGAAUACGUUCCCGGGCCUUGUACACACCGCCCGUCAAGCCAUGGGAGUGCGGGGGUACCUGAAGGGCGUAACCGCAAGGGGCGCACUAGGGUA
This 1432-nucleotide ribosomal RNA is filed under the name uncultured organism. Its description in RNAcentral is "16S ribosomal RNA". It matches the Rfam family "Bacterial small subunit ribosomal RNA". The record is from RNAcentral.